RNAcentral lists this transfer RNA (65 nucleotides) under Graptodytes pictus. RNAcentral's name for it is "tRNA-Cys". Lineage: Eukaryota; Metazoa; Arthropoda; Insecta; Coleoptera; Dytiscidae. The record is from RNAcentral.
AGUAUUAUAUUUUAAUAAAAAAAUUUUAAAUUGCAAAUUUAAAGAUAGAAAUAUUCUUAAUACUU